UCGAGGGGCAGCGGGGGAUGCGUUCGCGCAUUCUGCCGGCGACCGGCGCACGGGUGAGUAACACGUAUGCAACCUGCCCCGUCCAGGGGGAUAAUCGGCGGAAACGCCGUCUAAUACCGCGUAUAUCGAUUCCGGGCAUCCGGGAUUGAAGAAAGGGCCUUAGGGUCCGGGACGGGAUGGGCAUGCGGCGCAUUAGGAAGUUGGCGGUGUAACGGACCACCAAUCCGUCGAUGCGUAGGGGUUCUGAGAGGAAGGCCCCCCACACUGGUACUGAGACACGGACCAGACUCCUACGGGAGGCAGCAGUGAGGAAUAUUGGUCAAUGGGCGGGAGCCUGAACCAGCCAAGUCGCGUGAGGGAAGAAGGUACUGAGUAUUGUAAACCUCUUUUGCCAGGGGACAAAGGCGGCCACGGGUGGCCGUAAGAGGGUACCUGGAGAAAAAGCAUCGGCUAACUCCGUGCCAGCAGCCGCGGUAAUACGGAGGAUGCGAGCGUUAUCCGGAUUUAUUGGGUUUAAAGGGUGCGCAGGCGGCGUGUCAAGUCAGCGGUAAAAUGUCGGGGCUCAACCCCGGCCGGCCGUUGAAACUGGCGUGCUCGAGUUGGAGAGAAGUAUGCGGAAUUCGUGGUGUAGCGGUGAAAUGCAUAGACAUCACGAAGAACCCCGAUUGCGAAGGCAGCAUACCGGCUCCACACUGACGCUGAGGCACGAAAGCGUGGGUAUCGAACAGGAUUAGAUACCCUGGUAGUCCACGCAGUAAACGAUGAAUGCUAGGUGUCCGGGGCUUUGUGUCCUGCGUGCCACAGCGAAAGCGU
Molecule: ribosomal RNA, 813 nt
Filed under: uncultured bacterium
Lineage: Bacteria
Description: bacterial SSU rRNA
Rfam family: Bacterial small subunit ribosomal RNA
Source: RNAcentral